This 253-nucleotide ribosomal RNA is filed under the name uncultured bacterium. RNAcentral's name for it is "partial 16S ribosomal RNA". It matches the Rfam family "Bacterial small subunit ribosomal RNA", at positions 524 to 776 of the family's 1533-position model. The record is from RNAcentral.
UACGGAGGGUGCAAACGUUGUUCGGAAUUACUGGGCGUAAAGCGCGUGUAGGCGGCUAUGCAAGUCGGAUGUGAAAGCCCUCGGCUCAACCGGGGAAGUGCACCCGAAACUGCAAAGCUAGAGUCUCGGAGAGGAUCGUGGAAUUCUCGGUGUAGAGGUGAAAUUCGUAGAGAUCGAGAGGAACACCAGUGGCGAAGGCGGCGAUCUGGACGAUGACUGACGCUGAGACGCGAAAGCGUGGGGAGCAAACAGG